Molecule: long non-coding RNA, 5591 nt
Organism: Vitis vinifera (wine grape)
Lineage: Eukaryota; Viridiplantae; Streptophyta; Magnoliopsida; Vitales; Vitaceae
Exons: 2
Source: RefSeq, a predicted model, not a curated record
UUCUCUUUCUCUCAUCUUUUCUCUUAUAAAUGUAUUUUACAUAAGAAUUAGAGUACUAAUAAGAAACAUUCACAAAAUAUUAACAUAAAAAAUUAUUUUAUUAAAAAUGACUAAAAUUAUUAUCAAGGAUUUAAUUUUUGACAUGGUUCAUUUGUUGCAACUAUCUUUUAGUCUCUUACACCUUUUUAGUGAUAGAUUAUAUUGUAUUUGUUCUUCAAAGCCAUGAGACAAUAAAAAAUCUAUGUAACUGUAAAAUAUUGAUCAAAAUAUAACUUUUAUCAACUAAUGAUAUUCUAAUUUUAAAAAAAAUGUUAGUUGUAAGAGAACGAAAACUCAAAAUAAUUUUACAUCAAAAGGUUACUAUUUCUCUUAACUAAGUUAUCUAGAGAAAAAAAAUGGUUAAGAUUAUUAUAGGCCCCUCAAAAUAAAUUUAUCUUAUUAAUAAUUUGAUUAUUAUGAAUUAAUUAGCAUAUAAUGGGUGAAUGUGUAAUAAUUUUAAUGCCUAUGCAAUUAAUGCACUAAUGUUUUUAAAGUUUAAUUGGAUCGUAUAUAUUUUGGUGUAUAGUGCAAAUUAGAAUAUAUAUAAAGGUUCAUGGUUGUUACCUCUUUCCAAAUUAAAGCUUUGUUCACAAUUACAAAUGAUAAUGGACAAUCUAUUUAGUCAAUUGUAGUAUUUAGUUUCUACACUUAUAUUAUGAACUCAUUUAGUCAUAAGUGUGGUUUUGUUAGUUCGUUACUUGUGCAUCAAGACUUUGUGUGUUGGAUAGGGAUCACCUAAUAGAUAGAUUUACUAAACGAUUCUUAUAAUUGUCAAAGGACAGCUUUGCUGUCCACACUUCUUUCCUUGUUUUAGCCCACACUUCUUUCCUUAUUUUAGCCCAUAAUUGUUUCCUUAUUUCUCCAUUUAUUAUUCUGUACAGUUAGCAUACAUUAUUUGACAGAUUAUAGUUUACAUGUAUAGGGCUAGAAUCAUGCGGGAAUUUAUUUGCUUUUAUUUGCUUCCCAUGUAUAACAUCCUUGUAAAGUCUAUAUAUAAUAUACAAAACUCAAGGUCAAGGUAUUUGACCAUUCACACAAUAUUUUGACAUGGUAUCAGAGCAAGGUUGCUAAUUUUUCUUCCAUCAAAUUCUUUUCUGUCUUCUCGGUUUUGGAGGUGCUUCUCGUGUCUUUCGGUCAAGUCUAUGUUGAUCCGUGCUGCACCCAACCACAACCAUUUUUCUCGGUAUUUCUGUGGCUAUCGUGGGUCAGUUUUCUUUUGGGAUUGUUUUGGUCCAUCCUUUUGUCUCGGGUUCUAUUUAUUUUCUAUGGAUUCCGCACCUGUCUGUGUUAAGUUUACAGUAACAAAUUAUUCUACCUAGGCAUUUCAGUUUGAACUUUUUCUCAAGGGAAAAGACCUUUGGGGUCAUAUUGAUGGCACGGAUGUUGAAAAACCAUCCACUUUUGACAAAUCUCAGGAUGUUGGCUCUUCUCUUUCAAGGGUUGUGCUUGAUGCACGCAUCAUGUCUUGGCUUCUUGGUUCAGUGGAGCCUCAUAUUGUCACCCACUUGCGGCUCCAUCGCUUCUCUCAAUCUAUGUGGGCUUACUUGAAGAAAGUUUAUCAUCAGGAUAACGAUGCUCGUCGCUUUCAGUUAGAACAUGCGAUUGCCAUGUUUCAACAUAGUAGUCUUUCCAUCACUACUACUCGACAUUUCUAACUCUUUGGCAUGAAUAUGCUGAUUUGAUUACAGCGAAUGUUCCUAUUGCCGUUCUCUCAACUAUUCAGACUAUUCACGCGACUACCCAGCGUGAUCAGUUUCUUAUGAAACUAUGUCCGGAAUAUGAAUCUGUCCGCUCCUCUUUACUGAACAGAUCUACUGUUCUCUCUCUUGAUAUUUGUUUUGGUGAGUUACUUCGCGAAGAGCAGCGCCUUAGUACUCAAGCUAUUUUGGAGCAAUCUCAUGGCAGUUCCGGGACGGCAACUGUAGCUUAUGCUGCCCAAAGACGUGGACCACCUAUGCAUUCUAAAAACUUGCAGUGUUUCUGCUGCAAGGAAUAUGGGCAUAUUGCUGCCACUUGUCCUAAGAAGUUUUGUUCUUAUUAUAAGAAGGGUGGUCACAUUAUCAAAGAAUGUCGUAUUCACCCCCAAAAUCGUCAGGCCCAAGCAUUUCAGACUUCGGUUAUUGUCCCUCUUGUAGCAACUUCUGCAGCACACAACUCUCCUUCAGCUGCGUGAUCUGUUCCUGUACCUCUUACACCAUAUUACUGCACCCCAGAAAUGGUGCAAUAGAUGUUAAUUUCAGCAUUAUCAGCAAUGGGGUUCCAAGGUAACAAUUCUACUAAACUCUGGUACGUGGACUCGGGGGCCUCUAAUCACAUGACUAAUAAUCCCACCGCUUUGUGUCAUGUUCGGCCCUACGCUGGUCAAUCUUCCAUUCAGACUGCCAAUGGCAACUCUUUGCCUAUAACUGCAAUCGGCGAUGCCUCUUCUAAGUUCACUGAUGUGUUUCUUGCUUCUCAGCUUUCCACGAAUCUUAUUUCUGUUGGCCAAUUAGUUGAUAACAAUUGUGCUGUUAAUUUUUCUAGUAAUGGUUGUGUUGUGUAAGACUAGGUAACGGGGGAGCCGAUGGCGAAGGGACCUAAAGUGGGGCCCUUGUUUCCACUAUUUUUACCUGUUCCAGAUUUUUCUCCACUUUCUUUUAUUAAGUCUUUUGCUUGUAAUAAUGUUUUAGAUCUUAGUAUGGUGUGGCAUCGUCGUUUAAGCCAUCCCAAUACUCAAAUCUUAUCUCAUGUAUUGAACUCUGAUUUACCUGGUAAUAAGGAUCGUUCUUCUUUAUUUCUUGAGUGUGAUUCUUGCAAACUUGGUAAAAGUAAAACUCUUCCCUUCCCUUUGCAUGCAAGUAGAGCAUCUCACUGCUUUGAUCUUAUCCAUAGUGAUGUUUGGGAACCUUCCCCGGUUAGUUCACAUGAGAAAUUUAAAUAUUAUGUGACUUUUAUUGAUGAUCAUAGAAGAUUUACUUGGGUCUACUUUCUUCGCUCUAAAUCUGAGGUCUUUCGUACUUUCACUAAGUUUUUAGCGUAUGUUGACAAUCUAUUUUCUACUUCUAUUCAGACAUUAUGCACAGAUUCCGAUGGUGAGUAUUUGUUUAUUGAGUUUCAAGCAUUCUUGGCUUCUAAGGGUAUUAUUCAUCAACGUUCAUGUCUCUCUACUCCUCAACAAAAUGGAGUUGCCGAACGCAAAAAUCGUCAUCUCCUAGAUGUGGUACAUACUAUCUUGUUAGAAUCUUCUGUUCCAUCCAUGUUUUGGGUAGAGGCUCUGAAAACUGCUACUCAUUUGAUUAAUCAUUUACCUUCUCAAGUCCUACAUAUGGAGUCUCCCUAUUUCCGCUUAUUUGCUAAGCAACGUAGUUAUGAUCACCUUCGUAUUUUUGGUUGUGUAUGCUUUGUUCAUUUACUUCCUCACGAGUGACAUAAAUUAUUUGUUCAAUUUAUUUGAUGUGCUUUCUUGGGAUAUAAUAUGUGUCAAAAGGGAUUUUUUUGCUAUGAUCCUACAUUACAUCGUACAUGUAUUUCUAAGAAUGUUAUUUUCUUUGAAAAUCAACAUUUAUUUCCUAUAUCCUCUUCUAUUGUUCCAUCCUAUUCUAUUGUGGUCCUCCCCUCCUUUAAGCAGCAGUUCUCAGAUCUUCAUCCAGUUAGUUCUCGCUUUCAACUAGGUAUUGUGUAUACAAGACGCUCCCGCCCAUAGUCUCUUUCGAUGGCUCACCCGAUAUCUGAUCCUAUCACGCUCCAGAUUCAGUCAGUUGCAAUACCUCCAGCACCUUUAGUACGUCGCUUUCCUCGAGUGUCUGUACCUCCGAAUAGGUAUGGAUUUCCCUUUUCCAGUUCUGGCAAUUCUAUUUCAACCCUUACUGCUGGAUUGUCCAAUUUUGAUAUUCCCACAUGCUACUCACAUGCUGCCAAGCAUGAAUGUUGGCCACAAGCUAUGCAGGAAGAAAUUGCCGCUCUAGAGGCCAAUCACACUUGGGACAUUGAGCUUUGUCCUCCCACUAUUGUUCCUCUAGGUUGCAAAUGGGUUUACUUAGUCAAGGUUCGAUAUGAUGGAAGUUUGGAUCGUUACAAAGCUCGACUUGUUGCACUUGGGAAUAAUAAGGAAUAUGGUGUCAAUUAUGAAGAGACCUUUGCUCCUGUGGCUAAAAUGACUACUGUUCGUACGAUUCUAGCUCUUGCUGCUUCCAGUGAUUGGCCACUACAUUAGAUGGAUGUAAAAAAAUGAUUUUCUUCAUGGGGAUCUUAAAGAGUGUAUUUAUAUGAAGCCACCCCCGGGAUUGUUUUCCUUUCCGACUUCACAUGUGUGUAAGCUUUGUCGCUCUCUUUAUGGUCUCAAAUAGGCUCUGAGGGCCUGGUUUGAUAAAUUCCGCACCACUUUAUUACAAUUUUCAUUCAGGCAGAGCAAGUAUGACACUUUCUUGUUUCUUCGGAAAUCAGACAUGCGUAUUGUUGUUCUUUUAGUUUAUGUUGAUGAUAUUGUGAUCACUGGUUCUAAUUUUGCUUUACUUGGUCAACUCAAAACUCAUCUCUCCGAGUCCUUUCAUAUGAAAGAUCUUGGGUCUCUCACAUAUUUUCUUGGUCUUGAGGUGCAUCAUAGUCCCUAUGGUAUUUCCCUCAAUCAACAUAAGUAUGCGGGUGACUUGGUGGCUACCGCUGGUCUACAAGGGGCUACUUCUAUUGAUACUCCCAUGGAAUUAAAUGUCAAGCUUCGUAAAGAGGAGGGGACUUACUUGCUGAUCCCAGUUUAUAUAGGAAGUUGGUGAGUAGCCUUGUUUAUCUCACCAUUACUAGACUGGACAUUUCUUUUGUUGUACAGCAAGUCAACCAGUUCCUUCAGACUCCUCGCCAUCUUCAUUUAGCUGUUGUCUGUAGGAUCAUACAUAUGUUCAAGGCACUUCUACUCGUGGCUUGUUCUUCCCUGCAGGCAAUUCUACUCGCCUUGCUGCUUAUAGUGAUGCUGAUUGGGCUGGUUGUGCGGAUACCCAUCGCUCCAUCACUGGUUAGUGUGUGUUCUUAGGUGAUGCAUUGAUCUCUUGGAAAAGUAAGAAGCAAGGCAGAGUCUCUAAGUCAUCUACGGAAUCUGAGUACCGGAUCACGACCAAUCCUGUCUAUCAUGAGCGCACAAAGCAUAUUGAAGUGGACAGUCACUCUAUCCGUGAAGCCUUUGAAGCUCGUGUUAUCACUCUUCCACAUAUUUCCACUGACUUACAAAUUGCUGAUAUCUUCACCAAGGCUCUCCCUCGUCAUCGACAUUGCUUGCUAAGUAGCAAAUUGAUGCUUGUUGAUAAACCUGCAUCAAUUUGAGGGGGGUUGUCAAAGGACAGCUUUGCUGUCCACACUUCUUUUCUUAUUUUAGCCCACAAUUGUUUCCUUAUUUCUUCAUUUAUUAUUCUGUACAGUUAGCAUACAUUAUUUGACAGGUUAUAGUUUACAUGUAUAGGGCUAGAAUCAUGUGGGAAUUUAUUUUCUUUUAUUUGCUUCCCAUGUAUAGCAUCCUUGUAAAGUCUAUAUGUAAUAUACAAAACUCAAGGCCAAGGUAUUUGACCAUUCACACAAUAUUUUGACAA